AUGGUGAUAGGUGGAAUGGGCUGAGAGUGGCUGAGGGGCGGGAUUAAAGAGCUGAGGUCAAUGGUGAUAGGUGGGAUGGGCUGAGAGUGGCUGGGGAGCGGGAUUAAAGAGCUGAGGUCUAUGGUGAUAGGUGGAAUGGGUUGAGGGUGGCUGAGGGGUGGGAUUAAAGAGCUGAGGUCUAUGGUGAUAGGUGGAAUGGGCUGAGAGUGGCUGAGGGGCGGGAUUAAAGAGCUGAGGUCAAUGGUGAUAGGUGGGAUGGGCUGAGAGUGGCUGGGGAGCGGGAUUAAAGAGCUGAGGUCUAUGGUGAU
Long non-coding RNA from Oncorhynchus tshawytscha (Chinook salmon), 308 nucleotides. The record is from Ensembl. NCBI's taxonomy places the organism in Eukaryota, Metazoa, Chordata, Actinopteri, Salmoniformes, Salmonidae.